RNAcentral lists this small nucleolar RNA (105 nucleotides) under Echinops telfairi (small Madagascar hedgehog). RNAcentral describes it as "Small nucleolar RNA U13 (ENSETEG00000025766.1)". It matches the Rfam family "Small nucleolar RNA U13". Lineage: Eukaryota; Metazoa; Chordata; Mammalia; Afrosoricida; Tenrecidae. The record is from RNAcentral.
AUCCUUUUUCUGGUUCAUAAGCAUGAUGAUUGUGUCUUCAUGCAUCUGUGUGGUAUGUGCCUCUCUUAAUCCCUUGUUACGAGGUCGCACAUUACCCGUCUGACA